RNAcentral lists this ribosomal RNA (253 nucleotides) under uncultured bacterium. RNAcentral's name for it is "partial 16S ribosomal RNA". It matches the Rfam family "Bacterial small subunit ribosomal RNA", at positions 524 to 776 of the family's 1533-position model. The record is from RNAcentral.
CACGUAGGGCGCAAGCGUUGUCCGGAAUUAUUGGGCGUAAAGAGCUCGUAGGUGGUUUGUUACGUCCGCUGUGAAAUCCUAGGGCUUAACCCUGGGCUUGCAGUGGAUACGGGCAGACUAGAGGUAGGUAGGGGAGAAUGGAAUUCCUGGUGUAGCGGUGAAAUGCGCAGAUAUCAGGAGGAACACCGGUGGCGAAGGCGGUUCUCUGGGCCGAUACUGACGCUGAGGAGCGAAAGCGUGGGGAGCGAACAGG